CCUGCCCCUGUGAGGGGGAUAACUGCUGGAAACGGCAGCUAAGACCGCAUAGGCAUACAUGACGCAUGUCGAGUAUGUUAAAUAUCCCACGGGAUAGCACAGGGAUGGGCUUAUGACGCAUUAGCUAGCUGGUGAGGUAGAGGCUCACCAGGGCGACGAUGCGUAGCCGGCCUGAGAGGGUGGACGGCCACACUGGGACUGAGACACGGCCCAG
RNAcentral lists this ribosomal RNA (214 nucleotides) under uncultured Desulfitibacter sp. RNAcentral's name for it is "partial 16S ribosomal RNA". It matches the Rfam family "Bacterial small subunit ribosomal RNA", at positions 125 to 334 of the family's 1533-position model. The record is from RNAcentral. Lineage: Bacteria; Bacillati; Bacillota; Clostridia; Neomoorellales; Desulfitibacteraceae.